This 1204-nucleotide ribosomal RNA is filed under the name metagenome. RNAcentral describes it as "bacterial SSU rRNA". It matches the Rfam family "Bacterial small subunit ribosomal RNA", at positions 169 to 1370 of the family's 1533-position model. The record is from RNAcentral.
CCGAAUAAUAUCAUCUGUCGAUAGGCAGUUGAUCAAAUGAUUUAUCGGUGUGGGAGCGGCCUAUCUCCUAUCAGCUUGUUGGUGAGGUAAGAGCUCACCAAGGCGACGACGGGUAGCGGGACUGAGAGGUUGGCCCGCAACAUCGGGACUGAGACACUGCCCGGACCUCCACGGAGGGCUGCAGUAACGAAUAUUGCGCAAUGGGCGAAAGCCUGACGCAGCGACGCCGCGUGUAGGAGGAAGUCCUUCGGGAUGUAAACUACUGUCAGGGGGAAGAAAGUGCGCUUCGGCGUAUUGAUCUAACCCAGAGGAAGUCACGGCUAACUUCGUGCCAGCAGCCGCGGUAAGACGAAGGUGGCAAGCGUUGUUCGGUAUUACUGGGCUUAAAGCGUGUGUAGGCGGAAUCAUUAGCGUCCUGUGAAAUCCCCCGGCUUAACCGGGGAAUUGUGGGGCGAACUGUGAUUCUUGAGGCAAGUAGGGGUGCAUGGAACUCUUGGUGGAGCGGUGGAAUGCGUAGAUAUCAAGAGGAACGCCAGUGGUGAAGACGGUGCACUGGGCUUGUCCUGACGCUGAGACACGAAAGCGUGGGGAGCGAACGGGAUUAGAUACCCCGGUAGUCCACGCUGUAAACGAUGCCUACUAGGUCGUGGUGGUUCUGACACCAGCACGGCCGAAGCAAAAGUGUUAAGUAGGCCGCCUGGGGAGUACGGUCGCAAGGCUAAAACUCAAAGGAAUUGACGGGGGCUCACACAAGCGGUGGAGCAUGUGGAUUAAUUCGAAUCAACGCGCAGAACCUUACCUGGGUUUGACAUGCUUGGAUGCCCGCCUGGAAACAGGUUGGGCUGCCCUUCGGGGUGAAACUUGCACAGGUGCUGCAUGGCUGUCGUCAGCUCGUGUCGUGAGAUGUCGGGUUAAGUCCUUUAACGAGCGAAACCCUUGCCGUUAGUUGCCAGCGGGUCAUGCCGGGGACUCUAGCGGGACUGCCGGUGUUAAACCGGAGGAAGGUGGGGAUGACGUCAAGUCAUCAUGGCCUUUAUGCCCAGGGCCUCACACGUGCUACAAUGGCGGAUACAGAGCGAAGCAAGACCGCGAGGUGGAGCAAAUCGCAAAAAGUCCGCCCCAGUUCGGAUUGCAGGCUGUCAACUCGCCUGCAUGAAGGUGGAAUCGUUAGUAAUCGCAUAUCAGCUAUGACGCGGUGAAUGUG